CUCGACCCCAGCGCCGCUGCUCACACUGCCCACGGCCGCUGCGUUGCGCCGCCGCCGCCCACGACCAUGACCAUUGCAUCGCGUCGUCGCCGUCUGACGCUGCGCCGCCGUCACAUGAAGUCACUCAUAAGCUUGUUCUCCGUGAGAAAGGCGAUUUAGAACUGUUUCUUCUUCCUUCUCUUGAUGAUCCGGUUUAUUUUGGUUUGUGUUCCUAGUGACUGUGUCUACAGCAUCGGCCUGCGGAGGCCGCGCUUCUUCCCCGGCGACCGCAUGGACCUGUGCGCCCGCACCCGCCCGCCGCCACGUGCUACGAUGCCAGGGCAAGGCCAAGGCCCACACCACGCUCGGCUCCGACAUCGACGCCUCCAGCCAUCCACGAUUCCACAGUGCCAAGCAUGCUGCUGGGAUCAUGAGCGUCAUUCUGUUCAGCACUUGAUGAUCAUUGGAGAUUUCAAGAGCACCUUUUGCCAGAUUGUGUGACACGUCCUGGCUCGCUCAGUUGUAAUUAACCCGGAUGAGCAUAGGAGAUUUUAAGAGCACCUCUCUAAGAGAUGGGUGGAAAGUAAUGAGAUGAGUCUAUCCAAAUAUGUAACUCCAGUGUUUUAUCGAAGCUUAACAUUGAGUUCUCUUUAUUGAUUACUUGAUCAUUUCCUAC
Long non-coding RNA from Sorghum bicolor (sorghum), 655 nucleotides. RefSeq lists it as uncharacterized. The transcript is spliced from 2 exons. NCBI's taxonomy places the organism in Eukaryota, Viridiplantae, Streptophyta, Magnoliopsida, Poales, Poaceae. The record is from RefSeq and is a predicted model, not a curated record.